RNAcentral lists this ribosomal RNA (366 nucleotides) under uncultured bacterium. RNAcentral describes it as "bacterial SSU rRNA". It matches the Rfam family "Bacterial small subunit ribosomal RNA", at positions 29 to 424 of the family's 1533-position model. The record is from RNAcentral.
AACGAACGCUGGCGGCAUGCCUAACACAUGCAAGUCGAACGAACCCUUCGGGGUUAGUGGCGCACGGGUGCGUAACGCGUGGGGAUCUGCCCUUUGCUUCGGAAUAACAGUUAGAAAUGACUGCUAAUACCGGAUGAUGUCGAAAGACCAAAGAUUUAUCGGCAAAGGAUGAACCCGCGUAGGAUUAGCUAGUUGGUAGGGUAAAGGCCUACCAAGGCGACGAUCCUUAGCUGGUCUGAGAGGAUGAUCAGCCACACUGGGACUGAGACACGGCCCAGACUCCUACGGGAGGCAGCAGUGGGGAAUAUUGGACAAUGGGCGAAAGCCUGAUCCAGCAAUGCCGCGUGAGUGAUGAAGGCCUCGGUU